This 1047-nucleotide ribosomal RNA is filed under the name Staphylococcus aureus. RNAcentral's name for it is "bacterial SSU rRNA". It matches the Rfam family "Bacterial small subunit ribosomal RNA". The record is from RNAcentral. Lineage: Bacteria; Bacillati; Bacillota; Bacilli; Caryophanales; Staphylococcaceae.
UUUUAUGGAGAGUUUGAUCCUGGCUCAGGAUGAACGCUGGCGGCGUGCCUAAUACAUGCAAGUCGAGCGAACGGACGAGAAGCUUGCUUCUCUGAUGUUAGCGGCGGACGGGUGAGUAACACGUGGAUAACCUACCUAUAAGACUGGGAUAACUUCGGGAAACCGGAGCUAAUACCGGAUAAUAUUUUGAACCGCAUGGUUCAAAAGUGAAAGACGGUCUUGCUGUCACUUAUAGAUGGAUCCGCGCUGCAUUAGCUAGUUGGUAAGGUAACGGCUUACCAAGGCAACGAUGCAUAGCCGACCUGAGAGGGUGAUCGGCCACACUGGAACUGAGACACGGUCCAGACUCCUACGGGAGGCAGCAGUAGGGAAUCUUCCGCAAUGGGCGAAAGCCUGACGGAGCAACGCCGCGUGAGUGAUGAAGGUCUUCGGAUCGUAAAACUCUGUUAUUAGGGAAGAACAUAUGUGUAAGUAACUGUGCACAUCUUGACAUCCUUUGACAACUCUAGAGAUAGAGCCUUCCCCUUCGGGGGACAAAGUGACAGGUGGUGCAUGGUUGUCGUCAGCUCGUGUCGUGAGAUGUUGGGUUAAGUCCCGCAACGAGCGCAACCCUUAAGCUUAGUUGCCAUCAUUAAGUUGGGCACUCUAAGUUGACUGCCGGUGACAAACCGGAGGAAGGUGGGGAUGACGUCAAAUCAUCAUGCCCCUUAUGAUUUGGGCUACACACGUGCUACAAUGGACAAUACAAAGGGCAGCGAAACCGUGAGGUCAAGCAAAUCCCAUAAAGUUGUUCUCAGUUCGGAUUGUAGUCUGCAACUCGACUACAUGAAGCUGGAAUCGCUAGUAAUCGUAGAUCAGCAUGCUACGGUGAAUACGUUCCCGGGUCUUGUACACACCGCCCGUCACACCACGAGAGUUUGUAACACCCGAAGCCGGUGGAGUAACCUUUUAGGAGCUAGCCGUCGAAGGUGGGACAAAUGAUUGGGGUGAAGUCGUAACAAGGUAGCCGUAUCGGAAGGUGCGGCUGGAUCACCUCCUUUCUAAGGA